RNAcentral lists this ribosomal RNA (205 nucleotides) under uncultured bacterium. Its description in RNAcentral is "partial 16S ribosomal RNA". It matches the Rfam family "Bacterial small subunit ribosomal RNA", at positions 524 to 727 of the family's 1533-position model. The record is from RNAcentral.
GACGUAGGGCGCGAGCGUUGUCCGGAUUUAUUGGGCGUAAAGAGCUCGUAGGCGGCUUGUCGCGUCAACUGUGAAAACCCGUGGCUCAACCAUGUGGUCUGCAGUCGAUACGGGCAGGCUAGAAUUCGGUAGGGGAGACUGGAAUUCCUGGUGUAGCGGUGAAAUGCGCAGAUAUCAGGAAGAACACCCGUGGCGAAGGCGGGCU